This 77-nucleotide transfer RNA is filed under the name Salmonella sp. FORC89. Its description in RNAcentral is "tRNA-Met". Lineage: Bacteria; Pseudomonadati; Pseudomonadota; Gammaproteobacteria; Enterobacterales; Enterobacteriaceae. The record is from RNAcentral.
GGCAGCCCCACAAGCCCCUUCAGCGAGCAGAUUCGCGCACGCUUGCGGGUUAAGAUCGGCCCCCCAUGUGGAAAGCC